Molecule: ribosomal RNA, 661 nt
Filed under: Photobacterium sp. HCG1021
Lineage: Bacteria; Pseudomonadati; Pseudomonadota; Gammaproteobacteria; Vibrionales; Vibrionaceae
Description: bacterial SSU rRNA
Rfam family: Bacterial small subunit ribosomal RNA
Source: RNAcentral
GGCCUAACACAUGCAAGUCGAGCGGUAACAGGAAUUAGCUUGCUAAUUUGCUGACGAGCGGCGGACGGGUGAGUAAUGCCUGGGAAUAUGCCUUAGUGUGGGGGAUAACUAUUGGAAACGAUAGCUAAUACCGCAUAACGUCUUCGGACCAAAGAGGGGGACCUUCGGGCCUCUCGCGCUAAGAUUAGCCCAGGUGGGAUUAGCUAGUUGGUGAGGUAAAGGCUCACCAAGGCAACGAUCCCUAGCUGGUCUGAGAGGAUGAUCAGCCACACUGGAACUGAGACACGGUCCAGACUCCUACGGGAGGCAGCAGUGGGGAAUAUUGCACAAUGGGGGAAACCCUGAUGCAGCCAUGCCGCGUGUAUGAAGAAAGCCUUCGGGUUGUAAAGUACUUUCAGUCGUGAGGAAGGGUGUGUAGUUAAUAGCUGCAUGCCUUGACGUUAGCGACAGAAGAAGCACCGGCUAACUCCGUGCCAGCAGCCGCGGUAAUACGGAGGGUGCGAGCGUUAAUCGGAAUUACUGGGCGUAAAGCGCAUGCAGGCGGUCUGUUAAGCAAGAUGUGAAAGCCCGGGGCUCAACCUCGGAACCGCAUUUUGAACUGGCAGACUAGAGUCUUGUAGAGGGGGGUAGAAUUUCAGGUGUAGCGGUGAAAUGCGUAGAG